Molecule: ribosomal RNA, 260 nt
Filed under: uncultured Staphylococcus sp.
Lineage: Bacteria; Bacillati; Bacillota; Bacilli; Caryophanales; Staphylococcaceae
Description: partial 16S ribosomal RNA
Rfam family: Bacterial small subunit ribosomal RNA
Source: RNAcentral
CGGGGUGAGUAACAUGUGGAUAACCUACCUAUAAGACUGGGAUAACUUCGGGAAACCGGAGCUAAUACCGGAUAAUAUAUUGAACCGCAUGGUUCAAUGGUGAAAGACGGUUUUGCUGUCACUUAUAGAUGGAUCCGCGCCGCAUUAGCUAGUUGGUAAGGUAACGGCUUACCAAGGCAACGAUGCGUAGCCGACCUGAGAGGGUGAUCGGCCACACUGGAACUGAGACACGGUCCAGACUCCUACGGGAGGCAGCAGCG